CGGGGUGAGUAAUGUCUGGGAAACUGCCUGAUGGAGGGGGAUAACUGCUGGAAACGGUAGCUAAUACCGCAUAACGUCGCAAGACCAAAGAGGGGGACCUUCGGGCCUCUUGCCAUCGGAUGUGCCCAGAUGGGAUUAGCUAGUAGGUGGGGUAACGGCUCACCUAGGCGACGAUCCCUAGCUGGUCUGAGAGGAUGGCCAGCCACACUGGGACUGAGACACGGUCCAG
RNAcentral lists this ribosomal RNA (229 nucleotides) under uncultured bacterium. RNAcentral describes it as "partial 16S ribosomal RNA". It matches the Rfam family "Bacterial small subunit ribosomal RNA", at positions 104 to 334 of the family's 1533-position model. The record is from RNAcentral.